This 486-nucleotide ribosomal RNA is filed under the name uncultured bacterium. RNAcentral's name for it is "partial 16S ribosomal RNA". It matches the Rfam family "Bacterial small subunit ribosomal RNA", at positions 30 to 507 of the family's 1533-position model. The record is from RNAcentral.
AUUGAACGCUGGCGGCAUGCCUUACACAUGCAAGUCGAACGGCAGCACGGGUGCUUGCACCUGGUGGCGAGUGGCGAACGGGUGAGUAAUACAUCGGAACAUGUCCUGUAGUGGGGGAUAGCCCGGCGAAAGCCGGAUUAAUACCGCAUACGAUCUACGGAUGAAAGCGGGGGACCUUCGGGCCUCGCGCUAUAGGGUUGGCCGAUGGCUGAUUAGCUAGUUGGUGGGGUAAAGGCCUACCAAGGCGACGAUCAGUAGCGGGUCUGAGAGGACGACCAGCCACACUGGGACUGAGACACGGCCCAGACUCCUACGGGAGGCAGCAGUGGGGAAUUUUGGACAAUGGGCGAAAGCCUGAUCCAGCAAUGCCGCGUGUGUGAAGAAGGCCUUCGGGUUGUAAAGCACUUUUGUCCGGAAAGAAAUCCUUGGCUCUAAUACAGUCGGGGGAUGACGGUACCGGAAGAAUAAGCACCGGCUAACUACGUG